This 61-nucleotide microRNA precursor is filed under the name Chrysemys picta bellii (western painted turtle). Its description in RNAcentral is "Cpi-Mir-19-P2a_pre stem-loop". It matches the Rfam family "mir-19 microRNA precursor family", at positions 11 to 71 of the family's 79-position model. Rfam says of the family: The hairpin precursors (represented here) are predicted based on base pairing and cross-species conservation -- their extents are not known. Lineage: Eukaryota; Metazoa; Chordata; Testudines; Emydidae. The record is from RNAcentral. RNAcentral also lists the same sequence under 6 other names.
AGUUUUGCAGGUUUGCAUCCAGCUGUAUGAUACUCUGCUGUGCAAAUCCAUGCAAAACUGA